CUACGGGGUGCUGCAGUGAGGAAUAUUGCACAAUGGGGGAAACCCUGAUGCAGCAACGCCGCGUGGAGGAUGACGCAUUUCGGUGUGUAAACUCCUUUUAUGAGUCAAGAAAAUGACGGUAGCUCAUGAAUAAGCACCGGCUAACUCCGUGCCAGCAGCCGCGGUAAUACGGAGGGUGCAAGCGUUACUCGGAAUCACUGGGCGUAAAGGACGCGUAGGCGGGAUGUCAAGUCAGGUGUGAAAUCCUAUGGCUCAACCAUAGAACUGCACUUGAAACUGGCAACCUAGAGUAUGGGAGGGGGAGAUGGAAUUAGUGGUGUAGGGGUAAAAUCCGUAGAUAUCACUAGGAAUACCGAAAGCGAAGGCGAUCUCCUGGAACAUUACUGACGCUAAGGCGUGAAAGCGUGGGGAGCAAACAGGAUUAGAUACCCCCGUAGUC
This 439-nucleotide ribosomal RNA is filed under the name uncultured bacterium. Its description in RNAcentral is "partial 16S ribosomal RNA". It matches the Rfam family "Bacterial small subunit ribosomal RNA", at positions 339 to 795 of the family's 1533-position model. The record is from RNAcentral.